UUUUUUAUUAAUAUAAUUGAGACAAGGCCGAAUGAACUGAAGGGUAAACUAUGUACUAUGGAGGGAAAUAUAACGUUGAUUCUCAAUGAAAAUCGAAUAGAAGUCAUUAAGGAAAAACUUGCAUCCAGGAGCUGUUAUUUUGCGUCGCUUUUCUCACACAAUUUUAACGAUUCACAUAGUAACGAACAUGUUAUCAACUAUAACGUUACCUUUUGUACUUUACAGAAUUUUGUGGAAUGGAUUCACGAUGACGAAACACCUGUAUACAUGCACUAUAGUCCUGUCAAAGUUUCCAUGAUAAAAUUUAUAAAAAAUAAUUUUACGGAAUUAUUAAGUUUAUUACAAUUAAGUUUGUUGUUUAUGGCUGAUGAUUUAACAAACGAUGUUACAGACAUUAUAAUUUCUCAUUGGCUCUUACCAGAGAAAAUAAUUGAUAUAUGGCUUUUGGCUCAAGAAUUGAGUAUAAAAGCGUUACAAGAUAUUUGUCUCUCAAUUUGUUUAGAUCGUUUUGAAGAGUUGCCUGUACAUUCGCUUACCGAAUUAACCAAAGAUAAUAUUACUCGUUUAAUUACAAACGUAAACAUAAGAUCUUCUACCGAGUACCUGAAGUUUGUAAGAGACGAAUGGAAAAUGUACCACGGGACAACGGACAUUGCAGAAAUAAAAGAUAAAAGCCAAUUGAAGUUUAUACGAGGCAGUGUCGUUUGUAAUACACAAGAAUCUGUCGUUAAGGAUAUAUUUUUAUAUACCUGGAAUGGUGACAAUUUAAGCAAAUGCGUUCGAUUAAAAAAUAUAGGAGACUCAGGAAACUUAAUAAUCGGGAUGCAAAUAGCUGGUAGAGGUUUCAACAUUUAUACAAUUGGAGGAGAAAUGGGAUUGGGAACUGGGAAAUUUAACGACAUUAUUUGGCGUUAUUGUCUUUUAUCUAAAAAGUGGUAUUACCAAGCACGUUUACCUGUUCCCAGGAGGCAUAUGGUUGCCGUAUUUCUGAAGGACAAAUUAGUUGUAGUAGGUGGCGUAGGGAGGCAUAGAUUGAAAUUGUUAACAGUCGACAUUCUACACAUUCACACGGGUAAUUGGACAAAAUCUAAACAAACUAUUGGGAUACUAUAGCAAUCAAUAAUCCUGCUAUACGAAGCAUAGCGUUUCUUACACCUGAUACAACGUUAUUUUUGAUCGGCGAUCAUUCUGGUGAAACGAUCCUAUCAAAAAUCGACAUUAAGGAGACAGUUUGUCAGGAAGAAAGCUGCACGAAAGAGUGCGCGAGACAUAAUAUUAUAAAUAUUAUGAACAUUGCACACGAAGAUUACUAUCGAAUAAGGUAUGCGCGCGUCAUUGAUAUCGACAUGAUAAUAUUGGAC
This 1361-nucleotide unclassified non-coding RNA is filed under the name Megachile rotundata (alfalfa leafcutting bee). RNAcentral's name for it is "uncharacterized LOC100881378, transcript variant X4". Lineage: Eukaryota; Metazoa; Arthropoda; Insecta; Hymenoptera; Megachilidae. The record is from RNAcentral.